RNAcentral lists this long non-coding RNA (484 nucleotides) under Marmota monax (woodchuck). The record is from RNAcentral. Lineage: Eukaryota; Metazoa; Chordata; Mammalia; Rodentia; Sciuridae.
GUGUGCUCAGCUGGGUUUUCCUGGUGGCUGUUUUCAAAGGUAAUGAAUGGAGAACCAGAGAUCCUGAGUGUGUGAGUGGACAGCAGUGAGAGGAAGAGUGGGUGAGUGCCAGUGUCCUGACCAGGCUGCCUCUGUGUUUGCAGGUGUCCAGUGUGAGGUGCAGCUGGUGGAGUCUGGGGGAGGCCUGGUGCAGCCUGGGGGUUCCCUGCGACUCUCCUGUGCAGCCUCUGGAUUCACAUUCAGUAAUUACUACAUGGACUGGGUCCGCCAGGCUCCAGGGAAGGGGCUGGAGUGGAUCUCACUCAUUAGUGAUGAUAGUAGUUACAUAAACUAUGCCAACUCUGUGAAGGGCCGAUUCACCAUCUCCAGAGACAACUCCAAGAACACCCUGUACCUGCAAAUGAGCAGUCUGAGAGCUGAGGACACAGCCACCUAUUACUGUGCUAGAGACACAGUGAGGGGACCUCAGUGUGAGCCCAGACAC